CGGGGUUUCACCAUGUUGGCCAUGCUGGUCUUGAACUCCCGGCCUCAAGUGAUCCUCCCGCCUCAGCCUCCCAGAGUGCUGGAAUUACAGGCCUGAGCCACCGUGCCUGGCCCCUGAUUGGUCUUGACAGGUGUUUUUAAUGUCCCAAGUCUCCGUAAAUGUGGGAUGGAGCUUCUCUCAGAGGCUCUUCCCCCCAACUCCCAACCAGGUGGAAUCGUCUUCCAGAACAAAAUCUCCCAGUGCUUUGUGGUGUACUGAAAUCAUGUCUAAGAACAGAGAACUUAACAGUCACAUGCCUUUUUAAAAACUGGAAUAGGCUGGGCGCGG
Molecule: long non-coding RNA, 327 nt
Filed under: Homo sapiens (human)
Lineage: Eukaryota; Metazoa; Chordata; Mammalia; Primates; Hominidae
Description: HSALNT0228139
Source: RNAcentral